GAUGAAGAACGCAACGAAAUGCGAUAAGUAAUGUGAAUUGCAGAAUUCCGUGAAUCAUCGAAUCUUUGAACGCACAUUGCGCCCCCUGGUAUUCCGGGGGGCAUGCCUGUCCGAGCGUCAUUGCAACCCUCAAGCGCGGCUUGUGUGUUGGGCUUCGUCCCCCCGUGGACGUGCCCGAAAGGCAGUGGCGGCGUCCCGAAUGGUGCCCGAGCGUAUGGGAACUCUCUUCCGCUCGAACCGGCCCAUUCGGCGCUGGUCGAACCCCAAUUUUUUUCCGGUUGACCUCGGAUCAGGUAGGGAUACCCGCUGAACUUAAGCAUAUCAAUAAGCGGAGGA
RNAcentral lists this unclassified non-coding RNA (336 nucleotides) under soil metagenome. RNAcentral describes it as "partial contains 5.8S ribosomal RNA, internal transcribed spacer 2, and large subunit ribosomal RNA". The stretch from base 1 to 120 matches the Rfam family "5.8S ribosomal RNA", at positions 35 to 154 of the family's 154-position model. The record is from RNAcentral.